This 1730-nucleotide long non-coding RNA is filed under the name Homo sapiens (human). RNAcentral describes it as "HSALNT0005703". Lineage: Eukaryota; Metazoa; Chordata; Mammalia; Primates; Hominidae. The record is from RNAcentral.
GUAGCUGUCCAAUUCUGUACUUCUGAGGUCAGCAUCGCUUAGGGGUACUGCAGGAGAGCUGGGGGUUGAAGCCCUGACCUAGGGUUGAAUUCUGGUUCUGACGCAGUCAGCUACCAAGUCUCUGCUCUGUACAUGUUGACUAGUCACAUAUAUUAAGGGAAGAGUCCAAGGAGGUAAGCUCAAAAAUCACUCUUGAAAAUCCUUUGGGAAGGCAGCACUUUUGUGGAUAAACAUGUCUCAAUAAGCCCAACCCGGCCAGUUUUUCUAGUUCUUGGUUGAAGUCUGUCUUUGAGCAUUGGAGGAAGCUGCUGGCUUGAACCCAAGACAAUGCUGCACGAAACACAUGUCUCUUUAUCCACCGGAAUUGACUCAGUAAUGAGAUGCUCACGCAGAAGGUACAUGGAAGCAAAUACCAGUUAUAGACUCAGAUUUGAAUCUUCCAUCUCACACUCAGGGGCACAUGUCCAUCACAGGUGGAUACUCCACCAUUACAUUAUUUAAAAUUUCCAUUCCUUCUCUCUUUGGCCAAGUAUAUACAACUGAAUUUACAUGCUUUGAUUGAACGCAUUCAUGAUACAACUCCAUUGUGUCUCACCUCUCCAAAGCUGUUUCUUCUUCUGUAAAAUGAGGGCAGUAACAGUACUACAUCAUCAGACUAUUGUGCAAUCAAAUAAGACAGUAUGUGUAGGAAUUUUAAAUCGCUGCCAGACAAAUGACUUUCAUUCCCUUCCCCCAAAUUUUCCCUAACUAACUGUGUGAAACGUGAGCAGACCCUUCCCUCUCUGGGUCUCAAUGUUCUCCAACAACAAAAUGUGGGGGUUGUGUUAGUUGAUUUCUAAGGCCCCUUCCAGCUUGAAGCUUUUAGGAUAGUGCUGUAAUUCUAGGGCAUUUAAUGCAGUCAAACCUUCAAUGCAUUUGAUCUUAGCCAAAAGGCCAAGAAGCUAUCAAGCCUUCAGUGAAUGUUAACUGAUGCUUACAUGGUUUUUCCAGGACUCCUUUACCCAACUGAUAAGGGUCACAUCUAUAAACAGCAGCCCUUUGCACACUGUAGUAUCUUAAAACCUUGAGAAUUACACAUGCAUCUUAAUCGCCUUUUCAUUUGAUCAGCAGAAGUAUACUUCAGCUGCAUCUGAAUCAGCACAAGGUGACUACAUUUAGUGGUGCCCUUACUACAGUCCUUCAGAGGCACCGCGAAUGACAAAUGCUUACCUGUGAUGGGAGUGAAGCACAGCUUUCCCUCCAAGGAACACACACGGACACAUGGACACACACACGGAGGAUAGUCACUAUCCUUGGCUUUGGGAAAAUUCCUCUUUUUAGAUAGCAGUGAGGUAAAAGGAAAUGAACUCUGGAGUUAGGUCUGGACUGAAUUAUUCCAGCUCCUCUAUUAGCUGUGAGAAUUUGGGCAGGUUAACUUUUCUGGGCCUUGUUUCCCUAUCUGUAAAACUGCCAAAGAUGUUUCUGGUGGCAUUGUGUGGGUUACGUUAGCAGCAGCCUGAGGCUUUGGGUAAUGGUAUAAAUGGCAAUACCUCCUCCCAUCUGUCUGGGACCCUUUGAAGACUCAACUUGGUAGCCCAUACCUGGAGCCUCUCCUAAACCACGGCCCCAAUCCUCAGUAUGACCUAACUCCGCAUCACCAGAAUCUUGCCUUACCAGAGCAUACCUUCAGAAUAGCCUCCCUGGGCUGGCAUUUGCUACCUGUCCUGGGCAAGUCUGCACCCUCUAAAGGC